CCACCCUUUAAUGUUUGAUGUUCUAACGUUGACCCGUGAUCCGGGUUGCGGACAGUGUCUGGUGGGUAGUUUGACUGGGGCGGUCUCCUCCUAAAGAGUAACGGAGGAGCACGAAGGUUGGCUAAUCCUGGUCGGACAUCAGGAGGUUAGUGCAAUGGCAUAAGCCAGCUUGACUGCGAGCGUGACGGCGCGAGCAGGUGCGAAAGCAGGUCAUAGUGAUCCGGUGGUUCUGAAUGGAAGGGCCAUCGCUCAACGGAUAAAAGGUACUCCGGGGAUAACAGGCUGAUACCGCCCAAGAGUUCAUAUCGACGGCGGUGUUUGGCACCUCGAUGUCGGCUCAUCACAUCCUGGGGCUGAAGUAGGUCCCAAGGGUAUGGCUGUUCGCCAUUUAAAGUGGUACGCGAGCUGGGUUUAGAACGUCGUGAGACAGUUCGGUCCCUAUCUGCCGUGGGCGCUGGAGAACUGAGGGGGGCUGCUCCUAGUACGAGAGGACCGGAGUGGACGCAUCACUGGUGUUCGGGUUGUCAUGCCAAUGGCACUGCCCGGUAGCUAAAUGCGGAAGAGAUAAGUGCUGAAAGCAUCUAAGCACGAAACUUGCCCCGAGAUGAGUUCUCCCUGACUCCUUGAGAGUCCUGAAGGAACGUUGAAGACGACGACGUUGAUAGGCCGGGUGUGUAAGCGCAGCGAUGCGUUGAGCUAACCGGUACUAAUGAACCGUGAGGCUUAACCUUACAACGCCGAAGCUGUU
RNAcentral lists this ribosomal RNA (748 nucleotides) under Escherichia coli. RNAcentral's name for it is "partial 23S ribosomal RNA". It matches the Rfam family "Bacterial large subunit ribosomal RNA", at positions 2200 to 2925 of the family's 2925-position model. Lineage: Bacteria; Pseudomonadati; Pseudomonadota; Gammaproteobacteria; Enterobacterales; Enterobacteriaceae. The record is from RNAcentral.